CAGAAAAAUUUUUUUCCCAUGCUAAGCACCUCAUGGACUUAAAAAAAUCAAAUAUGAAAUGAAGCUGUCUGCAAAACACCUAUUAUGCAAACAUUUUGGCUGCUAAAAUAGUGUUGUAAGUCAUAAAAAAAUGAAGACUAUAGGGUUUUUCAGAAUUUUUGGUGCUUAUAACCUAAUGGAUUAGUAGCGUUAGUUUAGUAAACUAGCUUUAAAGAGGAUAUGUGGAUAUUUCUUGAUAACGCUGAUGCUGUAUCAUCCAGUACUGCACCAGUUGGAUAUCUCAGAUGAUACUGAAAAAUGAGGAGUGAUUAUUUUGGAAACACUUCCGAAUGUGAGCUAAUGUCUCCUAUUAAUUUGCACCAGCUUCCCCUUCAGAGAUCUCUGGGCUUCUAUAAAAACACCACUUGGAAACCACUGGGCUAGGGCACCUGGGUGGCUCAGUUGGUUGAGCGACUGCCUUCGGCUCAGGUCAUGAUCCUGGAGUCCCUGGAUUGAGUACCGCAUCGGGCUCCCUGCUCAGCGGGGGGCCUGCUUCUCCUUCUGACCCUCUUCUCUCUUGUGCUGUCUCUCAUUCUCUCUCUCAAAUAAAUAAAUAAAAUCUUUAAAAAAAAUAUUUACAUAGAGUGGUAUUUUAUACCAAUUUAUGAUGUGAUAUUUUUCAAUCUUGGGAUAAUUAAUAUUAAUUAUUAAUAUCAAUAUUAAUAUUGAGCUGGUUCCUCAAUAACAGUUCUUUUUACAUAUCAGUUAUUGGAUAGCAGAGUAGACUUUACCAAGUGUUUUCAUAUAUGUGACUCACCUUGAUCUUUAUAACAAUACUGCAAAACAUAUUUUAAAUAUUCAUUUCACAGGUGAGGCAGCUGAGCCUCAGAAAAAUUAAGUGACUUGUCCAAGGCCACAUAGCUAAGGUCCAGAAACCUGCAUCUCAACCUAAGGCUUCUGACCACAUGUCUAGGCUUUUUGGACAGUUUUCUAUAAUGGGGAAUUAACUACAUGAGUUUGCCCUUUGUCUUGGUACAAUUUGUGAAAUUGCUAGUAUAAUCUGCAGUCAAGAAAUUAAUUAAAUCCAAAUUUGGUUUAGAAAGUGCUGAAAAGCAUGACUUU
Molecule: long non-coding RNA, 1101 nt
Organism: Mirounga angustirostris (Northern elephant seal)
Lineage: Eukaryota; Metazoa; Chordata; Mammalia; Carnivora; Phocidae
Exons: 4
Source: RefSeq, a predicted model, not a curated record